This 510-nucleotide ribosomal RNA is filed under the name uncultured bacterium. RNAcentral describes it as "partial 16S ribosomal RNA". It matches the Rfam family "Bacterial small subunit ribosomal RNA", at positions 28 to 507 of the family's 1533-position model. The record is from RNAcentral.
GACGAACGCUGGCGGCGUGCUUAACACAUGCAAGUCGAACGAAGAGCGACGGAAGCUUGCUUCUUUCAAUCUUAGUGGCGAACGGGUGAGUAACGCGUAAUCAACCUUCCCUUCAGUGGGGGACAACAGGUGGAAACGACUUCUAAUACCGCAUACGAUCUAAUCUCGGCAUCGAGGAUGGAUGAAAGGUGGCCUCUACAUGUAAGCUAUCACUGAAGGUGGGUAGUGCGUUUGGUUAGCUAGGUGGUGGGGUAACGGCCCAUCAAGGCGAUGCUCCGUAGGCGGACUGGGAGGAUGAACGGCCCAAUUGGGACUGAGACAAGGCCCAGACUCCUACGGGAGGCAGCAGUGGGGAAACUUCCGCAAUGGACGAAAGUCUGACGGAGCAACGCCGCGGGAGUGAUGGAGGGCUUCGGGUUGGAAAGCUCCGUUAAUCGGGAAGAAAGGCCUUCUUGCGAAUAGGGAGAAGGAUUGACGGUACCGGAAUAGAAAGCCACGGCUAACUACGUG